GAUGAACGCUGGCGGCGUGCCUAAUACAUGCAAGUCGAGCGGACAGACGAGGAGUUUGCUCCUCUGACGUUAGCGGCGGACGGGUGAGUAACACGUGUAUAACCUACCUAUAAGAUUGGGAUAACUUCGGGAAACCGUAGCUAAUACCGGAUAAUAUAUUGAACCGCAUGGUUCAAUAGUGAAAGACGGUUUUGCUUUCACUUAUCGAUGGAUCCGCGCCGCAUUAGCUAGUUGGUAAGGUAACGGCUUACCAAGGCAACGAUGCGUAGCCGACCUGAGAGGGUGAUCGGCCACACUGGAACUGAGACACGGUCCAGACUCCUACGGGAGGCAGCAGUAGGGAAUCUUCCGCAAUGGGCGAAAGCUUGACGGAGCAACGCCGCGUGAGUGAUGAAGGUCUUCGGAUCGUAAAACUCUGUUAUUAGGGAAGAACAAAUGUGUAAGUAACUAGGCACGUCUUGACGGUACCUGAUCAGAAAGCCACGGCUAACUACGUG
This 497-nucleotide ribosomal RNA is filed under the name uncultured bacterium. RNAcentral describes it as "partial 16S ribosomal RNA". It matches the Rfam family "Bacterial small subunit ribosomal RNA", at positions 28 to 507 of the family's 1533-position model. The record is from RNAcentral.